This 552-nucleotide unclassified non-coding RNA is filed under the name Alexandrium sp. 1 TN-2020. Its description in RNAcentral is "partial contains ITS1, 5.8S rRNA and ITS2". The stretch from base 199 to 353 matches the Rfam family "5.8S ribosomal RNA". Lineage: Eukaryota; Dinophyceae; Gonyaulacales; Pyrocystaceae. The record is from RNAcentral.
GAACCUGCGGAAGGAUCAUUUGCACAACGCUUGCAACUGCUAGUCCGCACGAUCUUGUGGGCUCGGACCGCUUUUGCGGCUGCAUAGCCAAUUCAGGGGCAGUGCGAUUGGUAGUCCUGGUCAGCCUGCUGUCACCUAUGCUCUGACUCUGUCGCUUGGAUUGCCCCUCUGCUUGUUGCAAGUCAGCACACAAACGAAAUCGUUCUGCAAGGAAUGUGUCAGUUCAAUUGUUGAUGAAGAAUGCAGCGAAAUGUGAUGCGCAUUGUGAAUUGCAGAAUUCCGUGAGCCAACAGAUGUUUGAACGCUUUUUGCACCUUUGGGAUAUGCUUGAAGGUGUGCUUGAUUCAAUGUCCUUUGCCUUCCCACGUUAGGUGUUGACUCAAUAACAGGGGAACUGUGUGCGCUGAUGCUGCUACGUGAAGCGCAUGUGAUUGCAACCGUUAGCAACGUUCAUGUGUUUGUUGUCAGUUCAAAGCAUCAUGUGUUUGGUUGCCAAGGGUUGGAAUUCGCAAUGCCUACGCAUACAUUUACCAUGAAGUGAAGCACAGUAAC